GACGAACGCUGGCGGCGUGCUUAACACAUGCAAGUCGAACGGAAAGGCCCUGCUUUUGUGGGGUGCUCGAGUGGCGAACGGGUGAGUAACACGUGAGUAACCUGCCCUUGACUUUGGGAUAACUUCAGGAAACUGGGGCUAAUACCGGAUAGGAGCUCCUGCUGCAUGGUGGGGGUUGGAAAGUUUCGGCGGUUGGGGAUGGACUCGCGGCUUAUCAGCUUGUUGGUGGGGUAGUGGCUUACCAAGGCUUUGACGGGUAGCCGGCCUGAGAGGGUGACCGGCCACAUUGGGACUGAGAUACGGCCCAGACUCCUACGGGAGGCAGCAGUGGGGAAUAUUGCACAAUGGGCGGAAGCCUGAUGCAGCAACGCCGCGUGCGGGAUGACGGCCUUCGGGUUGUAAACCGCUUUCGCCUGUGACGAAGCGUGAGUGACGGUAAUGGGUAAAGAAGCACCGGCUAACUACGUGCCAGCAGCCGCGGUGAUACGUAGGGUGCGAGCGUUGUCCGGAUUUAUUGGGCGUAAAGGGCUCGUAGGUGGUUGAUCGCGUCGGAAGUGUAAUCUUGGGGCUUAACCCUGAGCGUGCUUUCGAUACGGGUUGACUUGAGGAAGGUAGGGGAGAAUGGAAUUCCUGGUGGAGCGGUGGAAUGCGCAGAUAUCAGGAGGAACACCAGUGGCGAAGGCGGUUCUCUGGGCCUUUCCUGACGCUGAGGAGCGAAAGCGUGGGGAGCGAACAGGCUUAGAUACCCUGGUAGUCCACGCUGUAAACGGUGGGUACUAGGUGUGGGGUCCAUUCCACGGGUUCCGUGCCGUAGCUAACGCUUUAAGUACCCCGCCUGGGGAGUACGGCCGCAAGGCUAAGACUCAAAGGAAUUGACGGGGCCCCGCACAAGCGGCGGAGCAUGCGGAUUAAUUCGAUGCAACGCGUAGAACCUUACCUGGGUUUGACAUGGAUCGGGAGUGCUCAGAGAUGGGUGUGCCUCUUUUGGGGUCGGUUCACAGGUGGUGCAUGCCUGUCGUCAGCUCGUGUCGUGAGAUGUUGGGUUAAGUCCCGCAACGAGCGCAACCCUUGUUCACUGUUGCCAGCACGUUAUGGUGGGGACUCAGUGGAGACCGCCGGGGUCAACUCGGAGGAAGGUGGGGAUGACGUCAAGUCAUCAUGCCCCUUAUGUCCAGGGCUUCACGCAUGCUACAAUGGCUGGUACAGAGAGUGGCGAGCCUGUGAGGGUGAGCGAAUCUCGGAAAGCCGGUCUCAGUUCGGAUUGGGGUCUGCAACUCGACCUCAUGAAGUCGGAGUCGCUAGUAAUCGCAGAUCAGCAACGCUGCGGUGAAUACGUUCCCGGGGCU
Molecule: ribosomal RNA, 1346 nt
Filed under: uncultured bacterium
Lineage: Bacteria
Description: partial 16S ribosomal RNA
Rfam family: Bacterial small subunit ribosomal RNA
Source: RNAcentral